This 907-nucleotide ribosomal RNA is filed under the name Ostorhinchus fasciatus (broadband cardinalfish). RNAcentral describes it as "partial 16S ribosomal RNA". The stretch from base 195 to 907 matches the Rfam family "Bacterial large subunit ribosomal RNA", at positions 568 to 1719 of the family's 2925-position model. Lineage: Eukaryota; Metazoa; Chordata; Actinopteri; Kurtiformes; Apogonidae. The record is from RNAcentral.
AGCCCACUAGCUAGCUUGCACCCUAAAACACAACAAUUCACUAUACCUACCCCCUGACUAGGACCUACACACGACAUAGGCCAAACCAUUUUUCCCCCUUAGUAUGGGAGACAGAAAAGGACACACGAAGCAACAACACCAGUACCGUAAGGGAACGCUGAAAGAGAAAUGAAACAAAUCAGUAAAGCGCAAAAAAGCAGAGCCUAGCCCUCGUACCUUUUGCAUCAUGAUUUAGCAAGAAAACAUCAAGCAAAAAGAAUUUUAGUUUGACACCCCGAAACCAAGGGAGCUACUCCGAGACAGCCUCUGAGGGCACACCCGUCUCUGUGGCAAAAGAGUGGGAAGAUCUUUGAGUAGAGGUGACAGACCUACCGAACUUGGUUAUAGCUGGUUGCUCAGGAAAUGAAUAGGAGUUCAGCCUUUUGUCUUCUUUCCACACAACACAGCUAUGCCCACAAGCGCCUGAGAAUUGACAAAAGAGUUAGUCAGAGGGGGUACAGCCCCUUUGAAGAAGAGACAACUUUACUAGAAGGGUUAAGAUCAUAACACUUUUUAAGGGAACGUGUUCUAGUUGGCCUAAGAGCAGCCACCCAUACAGAAAGCGUUAAAGCUCAGACAUUUUCCGCCCCUAUUAUUUAGACUACCCCCAUCUUACCCCCCUAACCACACUGAGCCUUCCCAUACCCCUAUGGGAGAGAUUAUGCUAAUAUGAGUAAUAAGAGAUUUUGCAUCUCUCCUCGCACAAGUGUAAAUCGGAACGAACCAACACCGAAAAUUAACGACCCCAAAAAGAGGGCACCGAAACAUCAUGGCCAGGCCACUAGAAAACCAUUCACCUUGCCAAACCGUUAACCUUACACUAGAGUGCAUUCAAGGAAAGACUAAAAGAGAAAGAAGGAACUCGGCA